UAUUGACAUACUGAUGUUGAUGUCAUAUUUCCUUAUCUGAAUUAAGCUCUCGUGGGAAGUAUUAAGAUCUACUAUAAAUAGUUGUAGAGAGCCCAUGGAUACAUCGGCCAACGCCUGAGGUGGGGGACAUUUAAACCAAGUCCACUGUUGUCCUAUCUUUGUGAGUGACACUUUACCAAGCUGGUCAAAUACAAGAAGACUGAAAAGAGAUAGAACACGAGAUAAGCUACAGGAAAAGAAAAUAGAAGGUUUGCUAUUGCAUACGAAAAGGUGUGGAGAACAGGAAACCAAAACCUAAAUAGACAUUUCAUCUUUGCAUCACAAGUGGCACAGUGAAUCUGAAGGAGACUAACUUCAUAUCAUAAAGUGAUCAGGAGAAAGGAAAAGAGACCAUAUCUGGUGUGUUAUCAUUCCUUUACAACUGUGCCAUG
RNAcentral lists this long non-coding RNA (431 nucleotides) under Lingula anatina. RNAcentral's name for it is "uncharacterized LOC106166661, transcript variant X1". Lineage: Eukaryota; Metazoa; Brachiopoda; Lingulata; Lingulida; Lingulidae. The record is from RNAcentral.